UACAGAGGUCCCAAGCGUUGUUCGGAUUCAUUGGGCGUAAAGGGUGCGUAGGCGGCGCGGUAAGUCGGGUGUGAAAUCUCGGGGCUUAACUCCGAAACUGCAUUCGAUACUGCCGUGCUUGAGGACUGGAGAGGAGACUGGAAUUUACGGUGUAGCGGUGAAAUGCGUAGAUAUCGUAAGGAAGACCAGUGGCGAAGGCGAGUCCCUGGACAACUCCUGACACUGAUGCACGAAAGCUAGGGGAGCAAACAGG
This 253-nucleotide ribosomal RNA is filed under the name uncultured bacterium. RNAcentral's name for it is "partial 16S ribosomal RNA". It matches the Rfam family "Bacterial small subunit ribosomal RNA", at positions 524 to 776 of the family's 1533-position model. The record is from RNAcentral.